UCGGAAACAGAGUGCUGUGUUGUGGAAU
This 28-nucleotide non-coding RNA is filed under the name Rattus norvegicus (Norway rat). Lineage: Eukaryota; Metazoa; Chordata; Mammalia; Rodentia; Muridae. The record is from RNAcentral.